This 253-nucleotide ribosomal RNA is filed under the name uncultured bacterium. RNAcentral's name for it is "partial 16S ribosomal RNA". It matches the Rfam family "Bacterial small subunit ribosomal RNA", at positions 524 to 776 of the family's 1533-position model. The record is from RNAcentral.
UACGGAGGGAGCUAGCGUUGUUCGGAAUUACUGGGCGUAAAGCGCACGUAGGCGGCUUUGUAAGUUAGAGGUGAAAGCCUGGGGCUCAACUCCAGAAUUGCCUUUAAGACUGCAUCGCUUGAAUCAUGGAGAGGCGAGUGGAAUUCCGAGUGUAGAGGUGAAAUUCGUAGAUAUUCGGAAGAACACCAGUGGCGAAGGCGGCUCGCUGGACAUGUAUUGACGCUGAGGUACGAAAGCGUGGGGAGCAAACAGG